RNAcentral lists this ribosomal RNA (509 nucleotides) under uncultured Glomeraceae. Its description in RNAcentral is "SSU rRNA". It matches the Rfam family "Eukaryotic small subunit ribosomal RNA", at positions 569 to 1082 of the family's 1831-position model. The record is from RNAcentral. Lineage: Eukaryota; Fungi; Glomeromycota; Glomeromycetes; Glomerales; Glomeraceae.
AGCAGCCGCGGUAAUUCCAGCUCCAAUAGCGUAUAUUAAAGUUGCUGCAGUUAAAAAGCUCGUAGUUGAAUUUCGGGACCAAUAUGUCGGUCGUGCCUCGGUACGUACUGGCAUCGUUGGUUUCUCCCUUCUGACGAACCAUGAUGUCAUUUAUUUGGUGUCGUGGGGAAUCAGGACUGUUACUUUGAAAAAAUUAGAGUGUUUAAAGCAGGCUCACGCUUGAAUACAUUAGCAUGGAAUAAUGAAAUAGGACGUUUGAUUCUAUUUUGUUGGUUUCUAGGAUCGACGUAAUGAUUAAUAGGGAUAGUUGGGGGCAUUAGUAUUCAAUUGUCAGAGGUGAAAUUCUUGGAUUUAUUGAAGACUAACUACUGCGAAAGCAUUUGCCAAGGAUGUUUUCAUUAAUCAAGAACGAAAGUUAGGGGAUCGAAGACGAUCAGAUACCGUCGUAGUCUUAACCAUAAACUAUGCCGACUAGGGAUCGGGAUGAUGUUAAUUUUUUAAUGUACUCA